Pelobates cultripes (western spadefoot toad) is the source of this 196-nucleotide non-coding RNA. The record is from the annotation of a GenBank genome assembly. Lineage: Eukaryota; Metazoa; Chordata; Amphibia; Anura; Pelobatidae.
AUACACGAACAAAGUUGGAACUGCACUCACGGACUUCAAUUUCAAAAUUCCUCUUUAUUGCAUAAAAUUAAGAGGAAUUUUGAAAUUGAAGUCCGUGAGUGCACUUCCAACUUUGUUUGUGUGGAUACCAAUCCCCCUCCAAGGACUGGCACCCGGCAAGUUAAAGGACUAUGGGGUAAAAGUAUUUCACCCUUGU